This 330-nucleotide ribosomal RNA is filed under the name uncultured bacterium. Its description in RNAcentral is "bacterial SSU rRNA". It matches the Rfam family "Bacterial small subunit ribosomal RNA", at positions 568 to 898 of the family's 1533-position model. The record is from RNAcentral.
CGCGUAGGCGGUUUAUCAAGUCGCAUGUGAAAUACCAGGGCUCAACCCUGGGAGGUCAUGUGAAACUGAUGGACUUGAGUGCAGUAGAGGAAAGCGGAAUUCCUGGUGUAGCGGUAAAAUGCGUAGAGAUCAGGAGGAACACCGGUGGCGAAGGCGGCUUUCUGGGCUGUAACUGACGCUGAGGCGCGAAAGCGUGGGGAGCAAACAGGAUUAGAUACCCUGGUAGUCCACGCUGUAAACGAUGAAUACUAGGUGUAGGGGACGCAGGUCUUCUGUGCCGGAGCUAACGCAAUAAGUAUUCCGCCUGGGGAGUACGGCCGCAAGGUUGAA